AGACCCGAAACCCGGUGAUCUAGCCAUGGGCAGGUUGAAGGUUGGGUAACACUAACUGGAGGACCGAACCGACUAAUGUUGAAAAAUUAGCGGAUGACCUGUGGCUGGGGGUGAAAGGCCAAUCAAACCGGGAGAUAGCUGGUUCUCCCCGAAAGCUAUUUAGGUAGCGCCUCGUGAAUUCAUCUCCGGGGGUAGAGCACUGUUUCGGCUAGGGGGCCAUCCCGGCUUACCAACCCGAUGCAAACUGCGAAUACCGGAGAAUGUUAUCACGGGAGACACACGGCGGGUGCUAACGUCCGUCGUGAAGAGGGAAACAACCCAGACCGCCAGCUAAGGUCCCAAAGUCAUGGUUAAGUGGGAAACGAUGUGGGAAGGCCCAGACAGCCAGGAUGUUGGCUUAGAAGCAGCCAUCAUUUAAAGAAAGCGUAAUAGCUCACUGGUCGAGUCGGCCUGCGCGGAAGAUGUAACGGGGCUAAACCAUGCACCGAAGCUGCGGCAGCGACGCUGAUGCGUUGUUGGGUAGGGGAGCGUUCUGUAAGCCUGCGAAGGUGGCCUGUGAGGGUUGCUGGAGGUAUCAGAAGUGCGAAUGCUGACAUAAGUAACGAUAAAGCGGGUGAAAAGCCCGCUCGCCGGAAGACCAAGGGUUCCUGUCCAACGUUAAUCGGGGCAGGGUGAGUCGACCCCUAAGGCGAGGCCGAAAGGCGUAGUCGAUGGGAAACGGGUUAAUAUUCCCGUACUUGGUGUUACUGCGAAGGGGGGACGGAGAAGGCUAUGUUGGCCGGGCGACGGUUGUCCCGGUUUAAGCGUGUAGGUGUGUGUUCCAGGUAAAUCCGGUUCACUUUAACACUGAGGCGUGACGACGAGGCACUACGGUGCUGAAGCAACAAAUGCCCUGCUUCCAGGAAAAGCCUCUAAGCAUCAGGUAACAUCAAAUCGUACCCCAAACCGACACAGGUGGUCAGGUAGAGAAUACCAAGGCGCUUGAGAGAACUCGGGUGAAGGAACUAGGCAAAAUGGUGCCGUAACUUCGGGAGAAGGCACGCUGACACGUAGGUGAAGUGAUUUACUCAUGGAGCUGAAGUCAGUCGAAGAUACCAGCUGGCUGCAACUGUUUAUUAAAAACACAGCACUGUGCAAACACGAAAGUGGACGUAUACGGUGUGACGCCUGCCCGGUGCCGGAAGGUUAAUUGAUGGGGUCAGCGCAAGCGAAGCUCCUGAUCGAAGCCCCGGUAAACGGCGGCCGUAACUAUAACGGUCCUAAGGUAGCGAAAUUCCUUGUCGGGUAAGUUCCGACCUGCACGAAUGGCGUAAUGAUGGCCAGGCUGUCUCCACCCGAGACUCAGUGAAAUUGAACUCGCUGUGAAGAUGCAGUGUACCCGCGGCAAGACGGAAAGACCCCGUGAACCUUUACUAUAGCUUGACACUGAACAUUGAGCCUUGAUGUGUAGGAUAGG
Molecule: ribosomal RNA, 1456 nt
Filed under: Salmonella enterica subsp. enterica serovar Mbandaka
Lineage: Bacteria; Pseudomonadati; Pseudomonadota; Gammaproteobacteria; Enterobacterales; Enterobacteriaceae
Description: partial 23S ribosomal RNA
Rfam family: Bacterial large subunit ribosomal RNA
Source: RNAcentral